ACAAAUGUGGAGUCUCGAUGUGCCCCCAAAAAUUCGCUCCUUCCUCUGGAGUAUUUGCCAGAACGCCCUCCCGACGAAGGAAAACCUAUUCAGAAGGAAAAUUGUUAGUGACCCCCGAUGCCCUAUAUGCUAUUCGAGUACAGAAACAACAGAACACUUGCUGUUCUUCUGCAAGUGGACAAAAAAAAUCUGGCAAGACCCAAUUUUUGCAACGAUCAGGCCAAAUAAUGGCCUCCAACGCACGGAUCAGUGGCUUACAAGUGCCUUUCGAAGAGACAGGAACUUACCCGAGCGAGAGCUGGUCAGUCUGGUUCUGUGGAACAUCUGGAAGGCGCGAAACAACCGGAUCUUUCGUGCGCAGGAACCCCGACCAGCAGAUCUGCUGCUUGCAGCACAGGAACAACAGUACUCGUUCAGCAAGAGCACAUCAAACAGAAGAGAGAGAUCUCCCAAUCGAAGCAAACCUGGUCCGUGGAGGCCUCCGGAAGGGCAAAAUCUGAAGAUGAACGUCGAUGCAUCGUGGCAACCCGGUGAUCUCCUCUGCUCUGUCGCCGGAGUGGUUCGC
RNAcentral lists this long non-coding RNA (565 nucleotides) under Eucalyptus grandis. RNAcentral describes it as "long non-coding RNA (EGRA_LNC006508)". The record is from RNAcentral. Lineage: Eukaryota; Viridiplantae; Streptophyta; Magnoliopsida; Myrtales; Myrtaceae.